UACGAAGGGGGCUAGCGUUGCUCGGAAUCACUGGGCGUAAAGGGUGCGUAGGCGGGUCUUUAAGUCAGGGGUGAAAUCCUGGAGCUCAACUCCAGAACUGCCUUUGAUACUGAGGAUCUUGAGUACGGGAGAGGUGAGUGGAACUGCGAGUGUAGAGGUGAAAUUCGUAGAUAUUCGCAAGAACACCAGUGGCGAAGGCGGCUCACUGGCCCGUUACUGACGCUGAGGAGCGAAAGCUAGGGGAGCAAACGGG
RNAcentral lists this ribosomal RNA (253 nucleotides) under uncultured bacterium. RNAcentral describes it as "partial 16S ribosomal RNA". It matches the Rfam family "Bacterial small subunit ribosomal RNA", at positions 524 to 776 of the family's 1533-position model. The record is from RNAcentral.